UACGUAGGGACCAAGCGUUGUCCGGAAUCAUUGGGCGUAAAGAGCGUGUAGGCGGCUUGUUAAGUCUUGCGUGAAAUCUCGGGGCUCAACCCCGAGCGGUCGUGAGAAACUGGCAGGCUAGAGUGCGGGAGAGGAGAGUGGAAUUCCCGGUGUAGCGGUGAAAUGCGCAGAUAUCGGGAAGAACACCCGUGGCGAAGGCGGUUCUCUGGGACGGUACUGACGCUGAGACGCGAAAGCGUGGGGAGCGAACAGG
RNAcentral lists this ribosomal RNA (253 nucleotides) under uncultured bacterium. RNAcentral describes it as "partial 16S ribosomal RNA". It matches the Rfam family "Bacterial small subunit ribosomal RNA", at positions 524 to 776 of the family's 1533-position model. The record is from RNAcentral.